AAAGAUGUGGCUCAGUUGGAAGAGCACUUGCCUAGCAUGCUUGAAGUCCUGGGUUCAAUUCCCAGCACUUGA
This 72-nucleotide transfer RNA is filed under the name Mesocricetus auratus (golden hamster). It matches the Rfam family "tRNA". From Rfam's summary of the family: Transfer RNA (tRNA) molecules are approximately 80 nucleotides in length. Their secondary structure includes four short double-helical elements and three loops (D, anti-codon, and T loops). Further hydrogen bonds mediate the characteristic L-shaped molecular structure. tRNAs have two regions of fundamental functional importance: the anti-codon, which is responsible for specific mRNA codon recognition, and the 3' end, to which the tRNAs corresponding amino acid is attached (by aminoacyl-tRNA synthetases). tRNAs cope with the degeneracy of the genetic code in two manners: having more than one tRNA (with a specific anti-codon) for a particular amino acid; and 'wobble' base-pairing, i.e. permitting non-standard base-pairing at the 3rd anti-codon position. Lineage: Eukaryota; Metazoa; Chordata; Mammalia; Rodentia; Cricetidae. The record is from Rfam by way of RNAcentral.